GACGAACGCUGGCGGCGUGCCUAAGACAUGCAAGUCGAGCGGGGAGAUUGGGGAGCUUGCUCUCCGGUCUCCUAGCGGCGGACGGGUGAGUAACACGUGGGUAACCUGCCCGGCAGUGGGGGAUAACCCUGGGAAACUGGGGCUAAUACCGCAUACGGUCCGCGCUCCGCAUGGGGUGUGGAGGAAAGGCCGCCGGAGAGGCGGUCGCUGCCGGAGGGGCCCGCGGCCCAUCAGCUGGUUGGUGGGGUAACGGCCCACCAAGGCGACGACGGGUAGCCGGCCUGAGAGGGUGGUCGGCCACACGGGGACUGAGACACGGCCCCGACUCCUACGGGAGGCAGCAGUCGGGAAUCUUGCGCAAUGGGCGAAAGCCUGACGCAGCGACGCCGCGUGGGGGAGGAAGCCCUUCGGGGUGUAAACCCCUGUCGUCCGGGACGAAGGUCGGGGGUGAGGAGCCCUCGGCUGACGGUACCGGAAGAGGAAGCCCCGGCUAACUAC
This 498-nucleotide ribosomal RNA is filed under the name uncultured Bacillota bacterium. Its description in RNAcentral is "bacterial SSU rRNA". It matches the Rfam family "Bacterial small subunit ribosomal RNA", at positions 28 to 504 of the family's 1533-position model. The record is from RNAcentral. Lineage: Bacteria; Bacillati; Bacillota.